Molecule: ribosomal RNA, 460 nt
Filed under: uncultured bacterium
Lineage: Bacteria
Description: partial 16S ribosomal RNA
Rfam family: Bacterial small subunit ribosomal RNA
Source: RNAcentral
CCUACGGGAGGCAGCAGUGAGGAAUAUUGGUCAAUGGACGAGAGUCUGAACCAGCCAAGUAGCGUGAAGGAUGACUGCCCUAUGGGUUGUAAACUUCUUUUAUAUGGGAAUAAAGUGUUCCACGUGUGGCUUUUUGUAUGUACUUUAUGAAUAAGGAUCGGCUAACUCCGUGCCAGCAGCCGCGGUAAUACGGAGGAUCCGAGCGUUAUCCGGAUUUAUUGGGUUUAAAGGGAGCGUAGGUGGUUUGUUAAGUCAGUUGUGAAAGUUUGCGGCUCAACCGUAAAAUUGCAGUUGAUACUGGCAGUCGUGAGUACAGUAGAGGUGGGCGGAAUUCGUGGUGUAGCGGUGAAAUGCUUAGAUAUCACGAAGAACUCCGAUUGCGAAGGCAGCCCACUGGACUGCAACUGACACUGAGGCUCGAAAGUGUGGGUAUCAAACAGGAUUAGAUACCCCGGUAGUC